RNAcentral lists this ribosomal RNA (253 nucleotides) under uncultured bacterium. Its description in RNAcentral is "partial 16S ribosomal RNA". It matches the Rfam family "Bacterial small subunit ribosomal RNA", at positions 524 to 776 of the family's 1533-position model. The record is from RNAcentral.
UACGGAGGGUGCAAACGUUGCUCGGAAUCAUUGGGCGUAAAGCGCACGUAGGCGGUUUGUUAAGUCGGGUGUGAAAGCCCAGGGCUCAACCCUGGAAGUGCACUCGAAACUGGCAGGCUUGAAUAUGGAAGAGGGUCGCGGAAUUCCCGGUGUAGAGGUGAAAUUCGUAGAUAUCGGGAGGAACACCAGUGGCGAAGGCGGCGACCUGGGCCAAUAUUGACGCUGAGGUGCGAAAGCGUGGGGAGCAAACAGG